GCUAGGCAUGGUGGCGCGUGCCUGUAAUCCCAGCUACUUGGGAGGCUGAGGCGGGAGAAUUGCCUGAGCCCAGGAGGCGGAGGUUGCGGUGAGCCGAGAUUGCGCCAUUGCACUCCAGCCUGGGUAACAAGAGCGAAACUCCAUCUCAAAAAAAAAAAAAAAAAGAAGAAGAAGAAUACGGUUUGUUUAAAAGAUGAUGAGAGAAUCAGUAGUUUUAUUUUAUUGUUUUUGAGAUGGAGUCUCACUGUGUUGCCAGGCUGGAGUGCAGUGGCAUGAUCUCAGCUCACUGCAACCUCCGACUCCCUGGUGUAAGGGACUCUCCUGCCUCAG
Unclassified non-coding RNA from Callithrix jacchus (white-tufted-ear marmoset), 330 nucleotides. It matches the Rfam family "Metazoan signal recognition particle RNA". From Rfam's summary of the family: The signal recognition particle (SRP) is a universally conserved ribonucleoprotein. The record is from Ensembl. NCBI's taxonomy places the organism in Eukaryota, Metazoa, Chordata, Mammalia, Primates, Cebidae.